GGGAAUCUUCGGCAAUGGGCGAAAGCCUGACCGAGCAACGCCGCGUGAGUGAAGAAGGUUUUCGGAUCGUAAAACUCUGUUGUUAGAGAAGAACAAGGACGUUAGUAACUGAACGUCCCCUGACGGUAUCUAACCAGAAAGCCACGGCUAACUACGUGCCAGCAGCCGCGGUAAUACGUAGGGGGCUAGCGUUAUCCGGAAUUACUGGGCGUAAAGGGUGCGUAGGUGGUUUCUUAAGUCAGAGGUGAAAGGCUACGGCUCAACCGUAGUAAGCCUUUGAAACUGGGGAACUUGAGUGCAGGAGAGGAGAGUGGAAUUCCUAGUGUAGCGGUGAAAUGCGUAGAUAUAUGGAGGAACACCAGUGGCGAAGGCGGCUUCCUGGUCUGCAACUGACACUGAGGCGCGAAAGCGUGGGGAGCA
RNAcentral lists this ribosomal RNA (420 nucleotides) under uncultured bacterium. Its description in RNAcentral is "bacterial SSU rRNA". It matches the Rfam family "Bacterial small subunit ribosomal RNA", at positions 357 to 770 of the family's 1533-position model. The record is from RNAcentral.